CGCAAAGUUCGUGUUUUAAAUGUU
RNAcentral lists this non-coding RNA (24 nucleotides) under Arabidopsis thaliana (thale cress). The record is from RNAcentral. Lineage: Eukaryota; Viridiplantae; Streptophyta; Magnoliopsida; Brassicales; Brassicaceae.